This 506-nucleotide ribosomal RNA is filed under the name uncultured bacterium. Its description in RNAcentral is "partial 16S ribosomal RNA". It matches the Rfam family "Bacterial small subunit ribosomal RNA", at positions 30 to 523 of the family's 1533-position model. The record is from RNAcentral.
AUUGAACGCUGGCGGCAGGCCUAACACAUGCAAGUCGGACGGUAACAGGAAGCAGCUUGCUGCUUCGCUGACGAGUGGCGGACGGGUGAGUAAAGUCUGGGAAACUGCCUGAUGGAGGGGGGUAACUACUGGAAACGGUAGCUAAUACCGCAUAACGUCGCAAGACCAAAGAGGGGGACCUUCGGGCCGCUUGCCAUCAGACGUGCCCAGAUGGGAUUAGCUAGUAGGUGGGGUAAAGGCUCACCUAGGCGACGAUCCCUAGCUGGUCUGAGAGGAUGACCAGCCACACUGGAACUGAGACACGGUCCAGACUCCUACGGGAGGCAGCAGUGGGGAAUAUUGCACAAUGGGCGCAAGCCUGAUGCAGCCAUGCCGCAUGUAUGAAGAAGGCCUUCGGGUUGUAAAGUACUUUCAGCGGGGAGGAAGGCAAUGCGGUUAAUAACCGUGUUGAUUGACGUUACCCGCAGAAGAAGCACCGGCUAACUCCGUGCCAGCAGCCGCCGUAA